CUGAUACUCCCUCCGUCCGGUAUUAGGUGUGGCAACUUUUUCUAUAUGGAUGUAUCCAGACGCGUUUUAGUGCGUAGAUACAUGCGUAUCUAGACAAAGUUGUGACACUUGAUACCGGACGGAGGGAGUAUAUC
Non-coding RNA from Brachypodium distachyon (stiff brome), 134 nucleotides. The record is from Rfam. NCBI's taxonomy places the organism in Eukaryota, Viridiplantae, Streptophyta, Magnoliopsida, Poales, Poaceae.